GACGAACCGUGCGAACGUUAUUCGGAAUCACUGGGCUUAAAGGGCGCGUAGGCGGUAGGCCAAGUACGUGGUGAAAUCCUUCGGCUCAACCGGAGAAUGGCCUCGGAUACUGGUCUUCUAGAGGGAGGUAGGGGCAGCGGGAACUGCCAGUGGAGCGGUGAAAUGCGUUGAUAUUGGCAGGAACGCCGGUGGCGAAAUAGCCCUGCGGGACCGCUUAUGACGUUGAGGCGCGUAAGCUAGGGGAGCAAACGGG
RNAcentral lists this ribosomal RNA (253 nucleotides) under uncultured bacterium. RNAcentral's name for it is "partial 16S ribosomal RNA". It matches the Rfam family "Bacterial small subunit ribosomal RNA", at positions 524 to 776 of the family's 1533-position model. The record is from RNAcentral.